CAGUCGCCGCGGUAAUACGAAGGGUGCAAGCGUUGUUCGGAAUUACUGGGCGUAAAGCGCACGUAGGCGGAUCGAUCAGUCAGGGGUGAAAUCCCAGGGCUCAACCCUGGAACUGCCUUUGAUACUGUCGAUCUGGAGUAUGGAAGAGGUGAGUGGAAUUCCGAGUGUAGAGGUGAAAUUCGUAGAUAUUCGGAGGAACACCAGUGGCGAAGGCGGCUCACUGGUCCAUUACUGACGCUGAGGUGCGAAAGCGUGGGGAGCAAACAGGAUUAGAUACCCCUGUAGUCCCUGUCUCUUAUAA
RNAcentral lists this ribosomal RNA (301 nucleotides) under uncultured bacterium. RNAcentral's name for it is "partial 16S ribosomal RNA". It matches the Rfam family "Bacterial small subunit ribosomal RNA", at positions 509 to 809 of the family's 1533-position model. The record is from RNAcentral.